AGUAGAGAAAAAGCUUUGAAGAAGCCAACUGAAGAAUCUGCAACACUGUGGACAUUAUGGUUCUAAGAUAAUUCUUCCUAUCGAUUUUUCUCGAUAUGAUAAAGUAUGCAAUCUUCACGCAUCCGGACGGAAAGAGGCCGGUCCAAAGUACUUGAAAAGCAGCGUAAACAAUGCAGAACAACAUUUCACUUCACAUAUCCCGAAAAGCGGUUCAACGGCUUCCCCCUCUGAACACCACAAUCACACCUAUCCCAGAACUGGAGAUGGAAGUGGAAGUGGAGCUGGCACUGGAACUGGACAGGGCAUGGGAAAUACGAAGAGGAGAUCAAUUCAAGUCCCAAACCAAAAAUCAGCGCGUGAAAUGCACAAAAGAAUAUUUUAGCCGGAACCUUUUCCAUUUCACAAUCACAUUUCCCAACUGCAAUGGACCAACAAAAAUUACAUAAAAAAUGCAAUUUCUUUUUAUUUCCCCAUUCCUGCAUUGAUAGCCAAAGAUUUUUGAUGAACUUGCCAAAGUUUAUUAACAAAAAGGAAAAAAAAG
Molecule: long non-coding RNA, 541 nt
Organism: Drosophila obscura
Lineage: Eukaryota; Metazoa; Arthropoda; Insecta; Diptera; Drosophilidae
Exons: 3
Source: RefSeq, a predicted model, not a curated record